This 471-nucleotide ribosomal RNA is filed under the name uncultured bacterium. Its description in RNAcentral is "bacterial SSU rRNA". It matches the Rfam family "Bacterial small subunit ribosomal RNA", at positions 8 to 525 of the family's 1533-position model. The record is from RNAcentral.
AGAGUUUGAUCCUGGCUCAGAACGAACGCUGGCGGCAGGCCUAACACAUGCAAGUCGAGCGAGACCUUCGGGUCUAGCGGCGGACGGGUGAGUAACGCGUGGGAAUAUGCCCUUUGGUACGGAAUAGCCUCGGGAAACUGAGAGUAAUACCGUAUGUGCCCUUCGGGGGAAAGAUUUAUCGCCAAAGGAUUAGCCCGCGUUGGAUUAGGUAGUUGGUGGGGUAAUGGCCUACCAAGCCUACGAUCCAUAGCUGGUUUGAGAGGAUGAUCAGCCACACUGGGACUGAGACACGGCCCAGACUCCUACGGGAGGCAGCAGUGGGGAAUCUUAGACAAUGGGGGCAACCCUGAUCUAGCCAUGCCGCGUGAGUGAUGAAGGCCUUAGGGUUGUAAAGCUCUUUCAGCUGGGAAGAUAAUGACGGUACCAGCAGAAGAAGCCCCGGCUAACUCCGUGCCAGCAGCCGCGGUAAUA